AUACGUAUGGGGCAAGCGUUAUCCGGAUUCAUUGGGCGUAAAGCGCGUGUAGGCGGCUUGUUAAGUCAGAUGUGAAAACCGGGGGCUUAACCCGCGGCGUGCAUCUGAAACUGGCAGGCUUGAGUCUGGUAGAGGAAAGUGGAAUUCCUAGUGUAGCGGUGAAAUGCGCAGAUAUUAGGAGGAACACCAGUGGCGAAGGCGGCUUUCUGGGCCACGACUGACGCUGAGACGCGAAAGCUAGGGGAGCAAACAGGAUUAGAAACCCGAGUAGUCC
Molecule: ribosomal RNA, 274 nt
Filed under: uncultured bacterium
Lineage: Bacteria
Description: partial 16S ribosomal RNA
Rfam family: Bacterial small subunit ribosomal RNA
Source: RNAcentral